UUUUUAUCCCAGCAGUGGAUCGAGUACUUCCAAACACAGUUAAAGAGUAAGGUAUGUAUAUAUUUGCCAGUUUAAUUCCGUAUUCCACAUUGUAUGAUCUCAAGUUUCGAACAUUCUUAUAUGAUUUACUAUUCUAUGUUGUAGUGUUGGCACGAAGAAUCAUUAUAGGAAUAUAAUGAAUAUCGUGUCUUACUAUCAAGAUGAAUAACAAUCAAUUCAGAUAGUGUUUGAUUAUGUUUCUCCUAAAGCUACCUGCUCAACAUCUGAACGACUCUAACUACUGAGUACAAGUCCAGCUAUAAGGAUCAAAAACACCGUAUGGAAUUCCGAAAGGUCUUUUCCUAUACCGCGAGACCCUGUUUGGAACAUGAUAAUUUUGUGAAUCAACAACUACAUUGUUUCCUAUGAAUUUCAGCAACUACAUUGUUUCCAGUGAAAUUCAGCAACGACUACAUUUUUUCCUAUCAUCCAGGCAUACAGAGGCUUUGAUUUUUUCAAGUAUAGUUCAGAUUUUCAGGGAGCACUUCAACCCAGACAUAAACAAAGCAAAGAACUUGAUUACAAGGUACAAUCGUAACUACCAAUGCCGAGCUAUUUUUGAAUUUGACUAACACAAAGGGUGCAAUAUGUAGGUUUAGGGUGCUCCUAUGCUUGGAUAAGGCAAGAUGAUAUCCCCGCCCCCUGUUAAUUUGUAUUUCUGUUGCUGCAUGAUGAUAUUAUCUAAGUGAUGAAAAGUGAUUUCUGUAUGUGAAUGAGGGAAGGGAGGUUUCGCAUCACAAAGCAAAAAAAAUUACCCUAUCACGA
Molecule: long non-coding RNA, 804 nt
Filed under: Triticum aestivum (bread wheat)
Lineage: Eukaryota; Viridiplantae; Streptophyta; Magnoliopsida; Poales; Poaceae
Description: long non-coding RNA (TAES_LNC009933)
Source: RNAcentral